UAUGUCUGGCUUAUUUCACUUAAAACAUUCUCCAAUUCCAACAAUGUGAUAGCAAAUAACAGAAUUUUCUUCUUUUCAAAGACCCAAUAAUAUUCCAUUAUAUAUGUAUACCACAUUUUUGUAUCCUUUCAUCUGUUUGUUUAUUUCACUGGGCUAAUGUGAAUAAUGCUGCAAUGAACAUGGUAAUGAAGAUAUCUCUUCAACAAACCAAUUUUAAAUCUUUUGAUUAAAUACAAAAAAGUGGGACCGCUCAACUUCUCUUUUCAUUGUUAAAGGUUUCUAUGAUUCUAGGCGGUCACCUUGGAGAGGAAGGGAAGGAGUUCUGCCACUGAGCUUCAUGCUGGGGCUCAGCUGUCACAAGGGACAGUGUUGGACUUGUCCCUGAAGAUUCAACCUCUGAAAUAACAGUGAGAGGUUAGAGAGAAUUCUGAUGAUUGGAAAAAGAUGGGUGGUACAGGUUCUUCUCAUAGGAUAAGCUACUCAGGAAGAUUUGGAGGGUUUGAUGGAAUUGUUAGCAAAGAGCUCUCCUCUGGCCACAGAGCAGAGGAAGAAACAGCGGACCAGAGUAUAAAGCUCCAGAGCGGAAAAUUUCUGUUGGUGUCCAAACUAAGUUUUUGGCUUUCUGUGAGGCUUGGAAAGACUUAUACUGAUGUUUUAAUCACCUGUUUAGUGUUCUGGAGACUCCUGUCAGCGGCCUCACUGAGCCUGCUCCAGCAGGCAGAGGGGAGCUGCUGGCUUAUGCACCAUGCUCUUGUGUGAGCUGUUUCUUUCCCAUGGCUGUCUCCAACACUUCACAGCUCCCUCUGGGCCACUUAGACGGUACAAGCCAAACCUGUGAGCCCCAAAGGAGACUAAAGACACUCAUUUUGGUUAACUUCUCACCAGAUCUGAAGUCAGAAGGGAUCCUUAAAAGAGCCAAAAUGCAGAGAGAUAAGGCACAGUCUCUGGAGACCAGUCUGCCAGGAACCGCUAGGGCAGUACAGAAGCUUGCCUUCUAGGACAAUCACCACACAGACAUACUGAAGCUCUUGGAUAUUUAUCAUGAAAGAAAUCCUCACAAGUGAAAAGAAUACUGAACGAACUCAGGGCAGGACAGUGUUAGAAACAAAAACUCAUUAGCAUGCAAGAAGCUAACUGAGGAGUUCAGGGCAGUGGCAUGUAGAGCAUGUCAGCACUUUACUUCCUCUGCAAUUUUCAUUGGUCACAGCUUCUUGGUGGCUGUGGUGUAUAUGAAUGAUAGUUGCUAGGCAUUAAGAUAUUUAAUCUGAUUAUCACAGUAAUCCUGUGAGACAGAAAAAGAAAGAGGAAACUGAAUUGCAGAGAAAAUGAAUAUUUUUUCAGUGUUGAAGCUGGGAUUUGAACCCAAGUCUUUGUUCAGUCUUUAUACUAGAUGGCUCUCAAGAAGGUUAUGGUACUUUUGCAGACAGAAAGGGACCUACUUCAAGCCCUUCUUACUUAAAGGAUACUGCACCUGUCUUGGCUCAGCAGAGGCCCAAAGAUAUCCAGGACAAAAUAAACAACUGUGAUCAACUUGCAUUUACAUGAACAGAAACUGGGUGCUUGGCUAAGCUACAGGCAAGAGCAAAAAUAUUGAAAUUAAAUAUUUACCAGGGUACCUGCCCUAAAAGAAGUUCUCUCAUUCAGAUUUAUUUCAUUUUCCUGGAUGCAUUAUGGAUAAGACCUCUACUGAUCAGACAAUGAGUUGAAUGAAUAUAUAAAACUAGUCACUGCUGGAUGCUCAGGAGAAUCCUGGGAUAUCUGACUGUAGCACACUUGCCCUGCCUUCUGCAAAGCUACCUGAAGCCUGCCUAACUUCUUGCUGGACCUAAAUCUUAGCCUACAAGAGUCCAGCUAAACUGUGGAGGCUGUCCUUGAACUUAAGAUCCUCCUGCCUCAGCCUCCCAAAUUACUGGGAUUGCAGUGCUGGUGAUUGAACCAGGGCGUGAACAUGCUAGACAUGUGUUCUACCACUGAGCUACACUCCAAGCCCUAUUUCUGGUUAUUUAUUAAAUCUUUCCAAGACUGACAGGAAGAACUGGUAAAGGCAGAAAGAAAAGCAAAGAGGAGAACACUCCUGAAGAUGAUCCAAGUCCAUCAGUCAUGCUCAAGUUCAGCAGGCCUGGGAGUAGUCAGCAACCACAUAUUCCUUAGUCAGGUAGGGUCUCGAACAAAAGGCUGGACACAAGGGGCUGCAUUUGUGACACAAAAGCACGUGAAAAGAAUAUAUAUGUAUGUGCACCUAGUCUGCAUGCUGCCCAGGAAAUACAUUUCUUUUCUCCCAAGACCAUACUUCCCAAACAUUUUAAAGUGUCCCACUGAACGUAUUCAAUAAAUAUUAAGCAUCUGCUAUGGUAUGGCAGGCCCUAUUAAAGGCACAAAAAAUACAGCAAAGGAUAAAACAAUGUUCCUGCUCUCAUGGAGCCUAAUAUUCCUUUGAGAUAGAUAAUCAGAUAGUGGUGGGAAGCACUGUGAGAAAAAUAAGGCAGGAUAAGAAGGACAAAGUAUCUAUCUGGGCGAGGAAGAAAUAUUGUUGUUUUCUAUAAGAUAGACAGGGACAGGAUUUUAGAUGACAAUUAAUCAGGAGUGAGCCACAAAGCAGAGAGGGCUUCCUGGGUUGGUAACUGGAGUGCCAGGGAGUCUACACACUAUUACACAGUAUAAAGGAAGGAGAACUGGUUUUUCUAGCUCAGUUCAGUGAGAGAAAAGGCCUUUGAGAGAUUAUGCAGCUUGCACACCCUCCAUGCAGUUUCUGGAAAGCUUCCAUCACACAUGAGAGUUUUAAGUUGAAUUUUAAGUUUGACCACAAAUAUUUAAACUUCCCUGGACCACAAAUACAGUAUCUUCUCUGUGGUUUAGCUGGCACCAAGUACAUGUUAUGAAUCUCUAUAUGUCUGCCUGUUAUUUAAAUUUCUUACAGAAGUGCCAAGGUCUUUAGUUGUGAUUUACCUUCUUCCACUCCAUACUGGUGGGUAUGAACCUUGAUCAGGCCUAAUUCUUAAGGAAAGGAGAAAUGUUUACAUUGAAGCUUAGAUUUUUUAAAUAUAUUUUUUAAAAAUCUAUUUUUUAGUUGUAGUUGGACACAAUACCUUUAUUUCAUUUAUUUAUAUGUGGUACUGAGGAUCGAACUCAGGGCCUCAUACAUGCUAGGCAAAUGCUCUACUGCUGAGCCACAACCCCAGCUCCUGAAGCUUAGAUUUUUAACUAUGAAGUUAAAUUUCCUCUUAUUACUUUUCUCUUCAAAAAAUGUCAAUGGCGGGUCUAUUUUAAGUUCUUAUAUUUGAACUACAAUAUAAAAAUUGAAAAAUUUCUGUGCUGUUUUCACUGAAGUUGAGAAUAAAACUUACAGCUAAAUAAAUCUUUAGCUAUACUACAAAGCAAAACAUGAAGGAAUAAUGAGCUCCAAACAUCUAAAUGUGUACUCUUUCUUACUUACCAAUUCCUGAGAAUUAUGACCUGCACUAGAAUUACAAAGAAUAUAGAAAACAGCCCCUGCUCCCCAGCUGAGCCAUAGACAAGUUGGCCUGGGAAAGGGCUUUGGCUCCCCAAGCACACAAAAUUCUCAAAGAGUUCCUUGGGUUAUCCCUAAUCACAGGGUCAGUUUCUCUUACACAACUGCCAAGAGAGCCAUGUGGCAUUUUUAUCAAAUGAAGGCACAUAGGCAGAUCAUCUGAAACUCAGGAGUGUCAAAACAAUCACUCCUACUUCAUUCUAGAUAUUUGUCACUGUCUUCCUCCUUCUCUUAAUGGGCCUCUUAUAUCCAGAUUGUCUCUGUGUGUGUGUGUGCUGCGGGGAGCCAAGCUGGGGGGAGCCAAGCUAUGAAAUUGAGUUUUAUAGGAGAACAGCAGAGCUAUUUGUUAUGAAGUAACAAACCCAUGCAAACACAUUCUAAGUACAAUGCCCACCUUAAUAAAAUGAACAAUAACUUUGAAAGUAUCCAACCUGAAAGGCUAGAAAUACAUUUUUAAAAAACUAGCAUCAACCUCUAAUUAGAAGGACUUCAAAUGCAUGUUUCUAACUCAUCUACCCUUCCAGUUCUCUAGUGAAAUGACUGAAGAAAAAAGCAACUACAUACCAGAAACUUUGAGGAAUUUUAUGCAAGAUAAACUGCAGAGGAGACUGGAAUGAGGAAAAAGGACAACUGAUGUUCCACACUUUGUGGGCUCAAUAAGAACACAAAGGAGAGCUUAGCAGCAGUACCCCACUAAUAAUACCCUUACCUUGGAAGGACUAGGACAAGAGCCAAGGUGUGUGGGGAUACAGUUAGAAGGGUACACCUAGGUUCUACCAAGGCUGAUGGGCUGGGUUUAUAAUUAAUGUGGGUGAUUAGAUGAGGCAGAAGGAGGACAAUGCUGAGUCUGAAUGCUAUUGCUUUCUUUUUCUUUUUCUGGUGCUGGGGAUCGAUCCCAGGAUCUCACACAUGGUAGGCAUUCUACCACUGAGCUACGACCCCUGCCCUGGCUGGCUUCUAACAGAGGCAAAAAACCUAGAAUAGGAACACUAAGUUGAGAAAUUUGGUCUACUGCAAUAAACACUGGAUUUAGCUAUAGUGACAUCUAGCCCUAGCUGCCUCUCUACUCUCCUUUAGAAGAGUUUAACUCCAACAGUAUAAAUCAAACAUUCCUCUUUUCCCUUUAUCUGUACCUGAAAAUAUUAAGAACCAUCUAAACUCAAAACAAAUAUAGCUAAGGAUGGAAAAAUAAUUCACCAAAUAAAUAAAAAGGCAUUACAGAAGGGUACCAAUCUGAGGAAUUAGUACGAAAAGUCAUUGAAAAAAUAAGCGCAAAUUUAGAAACCUUAGUUAAUAAGAUUUCAUAGUAGUGGCACAAAGAUAGAUAAAUAAACCACUAGAGCAGAACAGAGUCUAGAAAGAGAUCCAAAUAUAUAUAACCACCUGACGGAUGACAAGACAACAUGUGGUUCAGUGGGGAAAACUGAUCUUUCAAUAAAUGAUUCUGGGUUAAUCAAUCAAUCAAUCAAAUUAACUGAGUUUAAACUUAACACUACUGAAUAUUACUAAACCUCAAUAAAAGUAAGAAUCAAAUAACUGCAUUUCAAUCUAGAUUAGGCAGUCAUAUAGAGAAAAACAACCAGGAAAAACCAUAGGAAAUGCAGUAAGCAGCAGUUAAAUAGAAUAGAAAACUGAAAACAACAACUCCCCCCAUAAAAAAAAAAAAAAGACCAGAAAACUGAAUUAGUAAAAUAAAUGACUUGAUGGAGCCUCUACUAUAAUACAGAGGAGAAAAUACAGAUGAAAAUAUUGGGGGGGGGGGAAAUUAAAAAUGUGGACACAUAACCCAAAUAUUUACAAGUUAUUCCAGAAUGAUGAGGACUGAUAGGAAAAGAAAAUAUUUUUUUUUUU
This is an RNA transcript of Marmota monax (woodchuck), 5359 nucleotides long. It is a transcript of the gene named HIC ZBTB transcriptional repressor 1, with no coding region annotated. The record is from RefSeq and is a predicted model, not a curated record. Lineage: Eukaryota; Metazoa; Chordata; Mammalia; Rodentia; Sciuridae. The transcript has 5 exons.